AGUGAACGCUGGCGGUAGGCCUAACACAUGCAAGUCGAACGGCAGCACAGCAAGAGCUUGCUCUUACGGGUGGCGAGUGGCGGACGGGUGGGGAAUACAUCGGAAUCUACUUUUUCGUGGGGGAUAGCGUAGGGAAACUUACGCUAAUACCGCAUACGACCUACGGGUGAAAGCAGGGGAUCUUCGGACCUUGCGCGAUUGAAUGAGCCGAUGUCGGAUUAGCUAGUUGGCGGGGUAAAGGCCCACCAAGGCGACGAUCCGUAGCUGGUCUGAGAGGAUGAUCAGCCACACUGGAACUGAGACACGGUCCAGACUCCUACGGGAGGCAGCAGUGGGGAAUAUUGGACAAUGGGCGCAAGCCUGAUCCAGCCAUACCGCGUGGGUGAAGAAGGCCUUCGGGUUGUAAAGCCCUUUUGUUGGGAAAGAAAAGCAGCAGGUUAAUACCCCGCUGUUCUGACGGUACCCAAAGAAUAAGCACCGGCUAACUUCGUG
Molecule: ribosomal RNA, 492 nt
Filed under: uncultured bacterium
Lineage: Bacteria
Description: partial 16S ribosomal RNA
Rfam family: Bacterial small subunit ribosomal RNA
Source: RNAcentral